GUUAAGCGACUAAGCGUACACGGUGGAUGCCCUGGCAGUCAGAGGCGAUGAAGGACGUGCUAAUCUGCGAAAAGCGCCGGCGAGGUGAUAUGAACCUUUGACCCGGCGAUGUCCGAAUGGGGAAACCCAGUGUGAUUCGUCACACUAUCGUUAACUGAAUACAUAGGUUAACGAGGCGAACCGGGGGAACUGAAACAUCUAAGUACCCCGAGGAAAAGAAAUCAACCGAGAUUCCCCCAGUAGCGGCGAGCGAACGGGGAGCAGCCCAGAGUCUGAAUCAGCGUGUGUGUUAGUGGAAGCGUCUGGAAAGUCGCACGAUACAGGGUGAUAGUCCCGUACACGAAAGCACACAGGCUGUGAACUCGAAGAGUAGGGCGGGACACGUGGUAUCCUGUCUGAAUAUGGGGGGACCAUCCUCCAAGGCUAAAUACUCCUGACUGACCGAUAGUGAACCAGUACCGUGAGGGAAAGGCGAAAAGAACCCCGGCGAGGGGAGUGAAAAAGAACCUGAAACCGUGUACGUACAAGCAGUGGGAGCACCCUUCGGGGUGUGACUGCGUACCUUUUGUAUAAUGGGUCAGCGACUUAUAUUCUGUAGCAAGGUUAACCGAAUAGGGGAGCCGAAGGGAAACCGAGUCUUAACUGGGCGUUAAGUUGCAGGGUAUAGACCCGAAACCCGGUGAUCUAGCCAUGGGCAGGUUGAAGGUUGGGUAACACUAACUGGAGGACCGAACCGACUAAUGUUGAAAAAUUAGCGGAUGACCUGUGGCUGGGGGUGAAAGGCCAAUCAAACCGGGAGAUAGCUGGUUCUCCCCGAAAGCUAUUUAGGUAGCGCCUCGUGAACUCAUCUUCGGGGGUAGAGCACUGUUUCGGCUAGGGGGUCAUCCCGACUUACCAACCCGAUGCAAACUGCGAAUACCGAAGAAUGUUAUCACGGGAGACACACGGCGGGUGCUAACGUCCGUCGUGAAGAGGGAAACAACCCAGACCGCCAGCUAAGGUCCCAAAGUCAUGGUUAAGUGGGAAACGAUGUGGGAAGGCCCAGACAGCCAGGAUGUUGGCUUAGAAGCAGCCAUCAUUUAAAGAAAGCGUAAUAGCUCACUGGUCGAGUCGGCCUGCGCGGAAGAUGUAACGGGGCUAAACCAUGCACCGAAGCUGCGGCAGCGACGCUUAUGCGUUGUUGGGUAGGGGAGCGUUCUGUAAGCCGUUGAAGGUGUGCUGUGAGGCAUGCUGGAGGUAUCAGAAGUGCGAAUGCUGACAUAAGUAACGAUAAAGCGGGUGAAAAGCCCGCUCGCCGGAAGACCAAGGGUUCCUGUCCAACGUUAAUCGGGGCAGGGUGAGUCGACCCCUAAGGCGAGGCCGAAAGGCGUAGUCGAUGGGAAACAGGUUAAUAUUCCUGUACUUGGUGUUACUGCGAAGGGGGGACGGAGAAGGCUAUGUUAGCCGGGCGACGGUUGUCCCGGUUUAAGCAUGUAGGCGGAGGUUCCAGGUAAAUCCGGUACCUUUUAACGCUGAGGUGUGAUGACGAGGCACUACGGUGCUGAAGUAACAAAUGCCCUGCUUCCAGGAAAAGCCUCUAAGCAUCAGGUAACACGAAAUCGUACCCCAAACCGACACAGGUGGUCAGGUAGAGAAUACCAAGGCGCUUGAGAGAACUCGGGUGAAGGAACUAGGCAAAAUGGUGCCGUAACUUCGGGAGAAGGCACGCUGACAUGUAGGUGAAGCCCCUGCGGGUGGAGCUGAAGUCAGUCGAAGAUACCAGCUGGCUGCAACUGUUUAUUAAAAACACAGCACUGUGCAAACACGAAAGUGGACGUAUACGGUGUGACGCCUGCCCGGUGCCGGAAGGUUAAUUGAUGGGGUUAUCCUUAGGGAGAAGCUCUUGAUCGAAGCCCCGGUAAACGGCGGCCGUAACUAUAACGGUCCUAAGGUAGCGAAAUUCCUUGUCGGGUAAGUUCCGACCUGCACGAAUGGCGUAAUGAUGGCCAGGCUGUCUCCACCCGAGACUCAGUGAAAUUGAACUCGCUGUGAAGAUGCAGUGUACCCGCGGCAAGACGGAAAGACCCCGUGAACCUUUACUAUAGCUUGACACUGAACAUUGAGCCUUGAUGUGUAGGAUAGGUGGGAGGCUUUGAAGCGUGGACGCCAGUCUGCGUGGAGCCAACCUUGAAAUACCACCCUUUAAUGUUUGAUGUUCUAACCUGGCGCCGUGAUCCGGCGUGGGGACAGUGUCUGGUGGGUAGUUUGACUGGGGCGGUCUCCUCCUAAAGAGUAACGGAGGAGCACGAAGGUUGGCUAAUCCUGGUCGGACAUCAGGAGGUUAGUGCAAUGGCAUAAGCCAGCUUGACUGCGAGCGUGACGGCGCGAGCAGGUGCGAAAGCAGGUCAUAGUGAUCCGGUGGUUCUGAAUGGAAGGGCCAUCGCUCAACGGAUAAAAGGUACUCCGGGGAUAACAGGCUGAUACCGCCCAAGAGUUCAUAUCGACGGCGGUGUUUGGCACCUCGAUGUCGGCUCAUCACAUCCUGGGGCUGAAGUAGGUCCCAAGGGUAUGGCUGUUCGCCAUUUAAAGUGGUACGCGAGCUGGGUUUAGAACGUCGUGAGACAGUUCGGUCCCUAUCUGCCGUGGGCGCUGGAGAAUUGAGGGGGGCUGCUCCUAGUACGAGAGGACCGGAGUGGACGCAUCACUGGUGUUCGGGUUGUCAUGCCAAUGGCAUUGCCCGGUAGCUACAUGCGGAAGAGAUAAGUGCUGAAAGCAUCUAAGCACGAAACUUGCCCCGAGAUGAGUUCUCCCUGAGACUUAGAGUCUCCUGAAGGAACGUUGAAGACAACGACGUUGAUAGGCCGGGUGUGUAAGCGCAGCGAUGCGUUGAGCUAACCGGUACUAAUGAACCGUGAGGCUUAACC
RNAcentral lists this ribosomal RNA (2903 nucleotides) under Pluralibacter gergoviae. RNAcentral's name for it is "Bacterial large subunit ribosomal RNA". It matches the Rfam family "Bacterial large subunit ribosomal RNA". Lineage: Bacteria; Pseudomonadati; Pseudomonadota; Gammaproteobacteria; Enterobacterales; Enterobacteriaceae. The record is from RNAcentral.